Molecule: long non-coding RNA, 875 nt
Organism: Apodemus sylvaticus (European woodmouse)
Lineage: Eukaryota; Metazoa; Chordata; Mammalia; Rodentia; Muridae
Exons: 2
Source: RefSeq, a predicted model, not a curated record
ACUUUGGGGCAGGGAGAACUCUACAUGGUCUAUAACUGUGACAGCUGUGAAGAGCAGGGGCAGGGGUCAGCUUUGUAGGGCAGGACCAAAGGAGCAAGCACCCUUUAGCUCAUGCUGCCCAGGCUAGACUGGCCUCCUUCCAGGCCAUUCCAGGGGAACUGCUGGGUCUAAACCUCAGACAUGUGAUGGCUGUCACUUGAAGCCAGCACAGAUGCUUCUGGACACUUCUGAGGGUGCCUUCCGAGGUGACUCUGCAACUCUGUUUUUCUUGCCAUGAGAUCAAGAUGUAGAACUCUCAGCUCCUCCAGCACAGAGCGAGUUCUAAGACAGCCAGGCUUAGACAGAGAAGGAAACCAUCAGACACAGAAAGCUGGUGAAGAUGUAACUGAGCAAGGGACGUGUUCCAGCCCCAGCCAGCAGCAGAACUUGGCAGCUUCAGCCACGUGGUUCUGGCUUUAGAGUCAAGGACAGAAGAAAGGGGUUAUAGAGUCUACCUUCUAUGACUAAGGAAAGGCACACAGGCCAGGUGUGUGUCGGAGGUGUCCCUGCAUGGAGGCCUAGAGAGACCAUUGCAUGAAGCUAUGAACGUGAAGCCUGGAUUGUAAUGGGAAGCCCAAGAGGUUGGAAAUACCAGAACCUCAGGAUACCUGAAGAGGAGAACUGCUAAUGGGGUCGAACCAGCUAAAGAGAAAGAAGUGUGCUGCAGUCAAUACAGUUGAACGCAACCGAUCUAAAGAGCACCUUGACUGCAAACAUGGCAAUGAAGAGUUUGGAGUUUGCCCAGCUGGUUUUCAGUCUUGCUUUGGUCCAUUAUCUUCUCACUGUGCUCUCUUUCUUCCCCUUUGCAACAAUAAAGUAUAUUCUGUGCCAUUUUA